RNAcentral lists this ribosomal RNA (459 nucleotides) under uncultured bacterium. RNAcentral describes it as "partial 16S ribosomal RNA". It matches the Rfam family "Bacterial small subunit ribosomal RNA", at positions 338 to 795 of the family's 1533-position model. The record is from RNAcentral.
CCUACGGGAGGCUGCAGUGAGGAAUCUUGGUCAAUGGGCGCGAGCCUGAACCAGCCAAGUCGCGUGAGGGAAGACGGUCCUAUGGAUUGUAAACCUCUUUUGUCGGGGAGCAAAAGACGCCACGUGUGGCGUUCCGAGAGUACCCGAAGCUACAGCAUCGGCUAACUCCGGGUCAGCAGCCGCGGUAAUACGGAGGAUGCGAGCGUUAUCCGGAUUCAUUGGGUGUAAAGGGUGCGCAGGCGGAAGAUCAAGUCAGCGGUAAAAUUGAGAGGCUCAACCUCUGCGAGCCGUUGAAACUGGUUGUCUUGAGUGAAGGAGAGGAAUGCGGAAUGCGAGGUGUAGCGGUGAAAUGCAUAGAUAUAACGCAGAACUCCGAUGGCGAAGGCAGCAUACCGGCGCGCAACUGACGCUCAUGCACGAAAGUGUGGGUAGCGAACAGGAUUAGAUACCCGAGUAGUC